UACGUAGGGGGCAAGCGUUGUCCGGAAUCAUUGGGCGUAAAGCGCGUGUAGGCGGCCCGGUAAGUCCGCUGUGAAAGUCCAGGGCUCAACCCUGGGAUGCCGGUGGAUACUGUCGGGCUCGAGUCCGGAAGAGGCGAGUGGAAUUCCCGGUGUAGCGGUGAAAUGCGCAGAUAUCGGGAGGAACACCAAUGGCGAAGGCAGCGCGCUGGGACGUUACUGACGCUGAGACGCGAAAGCGUGGGGAGCAAACAGG
Molecule: ribosomal RNA, 253 nt
Filed under: uncultured bacterium
Lineage: Bacteria
Description: partial 16S ribosomal RNA
Rfam family: Bacterial small subunit ribosomal RNA
Source: RNAcentral